RNAcentral lists this small RNA (126 nucleotides) under Vibrio spartinae. RNAcentral describes it as "His_leader". It matches the Rfam family "Histidine operon leader". From Rfam's summary of the family: At least 6 amino acid operons are known to be regulated by attenuation. In each a leader sequence of 150-200 bp is found upstream of the first gene in the operon. This leader sequence can assume two different secondary structures known as the terminator and the anti-terminator structure. Lineage: Bacteria; Pseudomonadati; Pseudomonadota; Gammaproteobacteria; Vibrionales; Vibrionaceae. The record is from RNAcentral.
UCAUCACCAUCAUCAUCCCUAAGUUAUCUUUCGGGAGGUGAGCGCAUACCCGGGAGAUAAAAUUCUCCCGGAGGUGAAAUGAAAAAUUCAAUGAACCCUCGGGAGUAAUUCCGAGGGUUUUUUUAU